GCGUUCCGGCCGGAAGACUUCCGGUUCUUUCCAGUACCCGUCAUCCAUGAGAACAGCAUCCAGAUUCAACAUGACAAUACUUCCCUAAUCAUUUUAGAAAUUGCCUUGAAGCUUGGUUUCUUUGACGGCGAAAUGGGGGACAACGAACGGCGCAAUAGUGCUACACCUCUGUGCUUCCAUCAAAACAGCUUCAGUGUAAGCGAUAGAGUUUGUGAUUUACAGAAAUUUACCCCCUAGAUUUGUCACAUGCAAUUCCACAUAGGUAACGAGGGUUUCGUGCAAGUGUAUGUGUAUGUAUCCUGUUUCGAGAACAGGAAAAAUUACGCAAAAGCCGGACUAGAAGAGUUGGACUUUGGUCCUUGUCACGCGUAAAUGAAAGAAUGAAGCUGCGCAAUCCGAAUAGUUCGCAAUCCGAUUUAAUACGACCUACUGUAUUACGUGUUGGUUUGUAAAUUAAAUUUCUCUCGAGUCGGGGGACCACCACUGCUUUAAUACCACGAAACGAGGGACCACCACUGCUUUAAUACCACGGGCAAACCCAUCACAGGGUGUAAACUCAGAAGUUCUUUUCUGCAGAUUUAAAUCGAAAAUUUUUUAUCAAAGCAGCCGUGAAGAGAAAAAAGUUUCGUGUUCUUGGCGGAAUACUUCCGGUUCUUUCCAGUAGGACUCGGCAUCUAGGAAGACGGCAUCCCGAUUUAACAUGAUAACACAUCCCUUAUUAUUGGAUGAAGUGCCAUGAAGCUUCGUUUCUUUGACGGCGUAAGGGGGCAACAAACGGUGCAGUAAAGUUGUAGGAACGUUGGACUUUCAUCAAAACAGCUUCCACACAAGAUUCCGCUGAUAAAUCGGAGACCGAAGUUUGAACCGGAAUGGAUGGCAAGUUACGUUUGGGAUUCGACAUGUCUAACAUUGAAUCCAGGUUAGCCUCCAAUCCAGGCAAUUCCGACU
Long non-coding RNA from Daphnia pulicaria, 948 nucleotides. RefSeq lists it as uncharacterized. The transcript is spliced from 7 exons. NCBI's taxonomy places the organism in Eukaryota, Metazoa, Arthropoda, Branchiopoda, Diplostraca, Daphniidae. The record is from RefSeq and is a predicted model, not a curated record.